RNAcentral lists this ribosomal RNA (2918 nucleotides) under Klebsiella pneumoniae. RNAcentral's name for it is "bacterial LSU rRNA". It matches the Rfam family "Bacterial large subunit ribosomal RNA". Lineage: Bacteria; Pseudomonadati; Pseudomonadota; Gammaproteobacteria; Enterobacterales; Enterobacteriaceae. The record is from RNAcentral.
GGGUUGUGAGGUUAAGCGACUAAGCGUACACGGUGGAUGCCCUGGCAGUCAGAGGCGAUGAAGGACGUGCUAAUCUGCGAAAAGCGUCGGUAAGGUGAUAUGAACCGUUAUAACCGGCGAUGUCCGAAUGGGGAAACCCAGUGCAAUUCGUUGCACUAUCGUUAACUGAAUACAUAGGUUAACGAGGCGAACCGGGGGAACUGAAACAUCUAAGUACCCCGAGGAAAAGAAAUCAACCGAGAUUCCCCCAGUAGCGGCGAGCGAACGGGGAGCAGCCCAGAGUCUGAAUCAGCUUGUGUGUUAGUGGAACGGUCUGGAAAGUCCGACGGUACAGGGUGAUAGUCCCGUACACCAAAAUGCACAGGUUGUGAACUCGAAGAGUAGGGCGGGACACGUGGUAUCCUGUCUGAAUAUGGGGGGACCAUCCUCCAAGGCUAAAUACUCCUGACUGACCGAUAGUGAACCAGUACCGUGAGGGAAAGGCGAAAAGAACCCCGGCGAGGGGAGUGAAAAAGAACCUGAAACCGUGUACGUACAAGCAGUGGGAGCACCUUCGGGUGUGACUGCGUACCUUUUGUAUAAUGGGUCAGCGACUUAUAUUCUGUAGCAAGGUUAACCGUAUAGGGGAGCCGCAGGGAAACCGAGUCUUAACUGGGCGUUAAGUUGCAGGGUAUAGACCCGAAACCCGGUGAUCUAGCCAUGGGCAGGUUGAAGGUUGGGUAACACUAACUGGAGGACCGAACCGACUAAUGUUGAAAAAUUAGCGGAUGACUUGUGGCUGGGGGUGAAAGGCCAAUCAAACCGGGAGAUAGCUGGUUCUCCCCGAAAGCUAUUUAGGUAGCGCCUCGUGAACUCAUCUUCGGGGGUAGAGCACUGUUUCGGCUAGGGGGUCAUCCCGACUUACCAACCCGAUGCAAACUACGAAUACCGAAGAAUGUUAUCACGGGAGACACACGGCGGGUGCUAACGUCCGUCGUGAAGAGGGAAACAACCCAGACCGCCAGCUAAGGUCCCAAAGUCAUGGUUAAGUGGGAAACGAUGUGGGAAGGCACAGACAGCCAGGAUGUUGGCUUAGAAGCAGCCAUCAUUUAAAGAAAGCGUAAUAGCUCACUGGUCGAGUCGGCCUGCGCGGAAGAUGUAACGGGGCUAAACCAUGCACCGAAGCUGCGGCAGCGACACUAUGUGUUGUUGGGUAGGGGAGCGUUCUGUAAGCCUGCGAAGGUGUGCUGUGAGGCAUGCUGGAGGUAUCAGAAGUGCGAAUGCUGACAUAAGUAACGAUAAAGCGGGUGAAAAGCCCGCUCGCCGGAAGACCAAGGGUUCCUGUCCAACGUUAAUCGGGGCAGGGUGAGUCGACCCCUAAGGCGAGGCCGAAAGGCGUAGUCGAUGGGAAACAGGUUAAUAUUCCUGUACUUGGUGUUACUGCGAAGGGGGGACGGAGAAGGCUAUGUUAGCCGGGCGACGGUUGUCCCGGUUUAAGCAUGUAGGCUGAUUGUCCAGGCAAAUCCGGAUAAUCAAGGCUGAGGUGUGAUGACGAGGCACUACGGUGCUGAAGUAACAAAUGCCCUGCUUCCAGGAAAAGCCUCUAAGCAUCAGGUAACAUCAAAUCGUACCCCAAACCGACACAGGUGGUCAGGUAGAGAAUACCAAGGCGCUUGAGAGAACUCGGGUGAAGGAACUAGGCAAAAUGGUGCCGUAACUUCGGGAGAAGGCACGCUGGUGUGUAGGUGAAGUCCCUGCGGAUGGAGCUGAGACCAGUCGAAGAUACCAGCUGGCUGCAACUGUUUAUUAAAAACACAGCACUGUGCAAACACGAAAGUGGACGUAUACGGUGUGACGCCUGCCCGGUGCCGGAAGGUUAAUUGAUGGGGUUAUCCGUAAGGAGAAGCUCUUGAUCGAAGCCCCGGUAAACGGCGGCCGUAACUAUAACGGUCCUAAGGUAGCGAAAUUCCUUGUCGGGUAAGUUCCGACCUGCACGAAUGGCGUAAUGAUGGCCAGGCUGUCUCCACCCGAGACUCAGUGAAAUUGAACUCGCUGUGAAGAUGCAGUGUACCCGCGGCAAGACGGAAAGACCCCGUGAACCUUUACUAUAGCUUGACACUGAACAUUGAGCCUUGAUGUGUAGGAUAGGUGGGAGGCUUUGAAGCGUGGACGCCAGUCUGCGUGGAGCCAACCUUGAAAUACCACCCUUUAAUGUUUGAUGUUCUAACGUUGGCCCCUGACCGGGGUUGCGGACAGUGUCUGGUGGGUAGUUUGACUGGGGCGGUCUCCUCCCAAAGCGUAACGGAGGAGCACGAAGGUUAGCUAAUCCUGGUCGGACAUCAGGAGGUUAGUGCAAUGGCAUAAGCUAGCUUGACUGCGAGCGUGACGGCGCGAGCAGGUGCGAAAGCAGGUCAUAGUGAUCCGGUGGUUCUGAAUGGAAGGGCCAUCGCUCAACGGAUAAAAGGUACUCCGGGGAUAACAGGCUGAUACCGCCCAAGAGUUCAUAUCGACGGCGGUGUUUGGCACCUCGAUGUCGGCUCAUCACAUCCUGGGGCUGAAGUAGGUCCCAAGGGUAUGGCUGUUCGCCAUUUAAAGUGGUACGCGAGCUGGGUUUAGAACGUCGUGAGACAGUUCGGUCCCUAUCUGCCGUGGGCGCUGGAGAAUUGAGGGGGGCUGCUCCUAGUACGAGAGGACCGGAGUGGACGCAUCACUGGUGUUCGGGUUGUCAUGCCAAUGGCACUGCCCGGUAGCUAAAUGCGGAAGAGAUAAGUGCUGAAAGCAUCUAAGCACGAAACUUGCCCCGAGAUGUGUUCUAGCUGAGACUUUAAGUCUCCUGAAGGAACGUUAACGACGAUGACGUUUAUAGGCCGUGUGUGUAAGCGCAGCGAUGCGUUGAGCUAACCGGUACUAAUGAACCGUGAGGCUUAACCUUACAACGC